UCAGAUAGCUGCAUUUGCACCUGGACCUACAGAGAGGGGGAGAGAGAGCUCAAAGAGAGAGAGAGAGAGAGAGAGGGAAUCAAAAUAUCUUCUUCAGCCAUGAUGUCUUCAAAUAGCUGCAUUUGCACCUGGACCUACAGAGAGGGGAAAGGGAAAAAAUUGACUCCUUCCCUCUAGGUGCAGUGGCAAAUGAAGCCAUAUGCCACCUUGGUCUCUCUCCACUCCAUUCUCGCUCACUACCACUUCAGGCAAAGGCAAGGAAUCUAGAUUUUUGUUUUCCCUUCUUUUUCCAUCUCAACUCCUUUCAAGUCUUUCAUCUGUCCACUACUGGGGAUUUUGGAUAAGUUUAAUGUCUUUUAUGGAUGGGUCAAGCUUAAUGCAUGGUAUAUUGAUUUUGUCAACCAGCUGAUGCUCGCUCCCUUCUUCUUGUUUUGGGUUCUUAGGAUACUAAAUGUGUAAUGAUGGAGUUUGUUCACUGGAAUGAUUAAAUCAACCGGGCUGCUAUAAAAGUUGGUAUAAGGUUUCUAGUUGUUAUUGGAGAGAUAUUUUAGUUCUUCUUCUUUAUUUUAUUUUAACAAUAAUUAAGAAUGAUUUGCCAAGAAGGAUGGGAGCUUUUUACUAUCACACUCUCAGCUUAACUUCACUGUAAGUGGAAAGCUCAAGCUCCAACUCGAGGUUAAAAAUAUCCAAGGAACAAUGCUAAGAUGACUGGUAGUUGAGAAAGAAAGAGAACAGGUAUAUUAGUUAGGGCAAGAUAUAGCAUACUGACCCUGAAUAUUGAAGCUUGUUCCUUAUCAAGGUUUAAAAUAACCGCUUUUGUAACAAGAUACUGACCGUUACCAUUGUAUGGCCAUUAUUCCAUCAUAACUCGCACUCUAUAUCAACUUAUCAAGAAUAGCAGCCAUGAUUUGAAAUUUUCAAUGUUUAUCUGAUCAAGUAAUAUUUUUCAGAUUCAAAUCUCUUUGCCUGCCGGCUAGUAAAAACAUUUCCUUUUAUUCAGUGGAAAGCGAUCGAAAGAAAUAGCGUUGUUGUCAUGAUUUUCUGUCAUUGUUUACUCGUGUCCCUUGUAUAGCCAAAAGUAGUUGCCAUAUAUUCAUCAUAAUGAUAGAUAGGUUUGAUGGAGGGGUCCUCUUCUUUGGGAAUAAUCACCUUAUUUAAGCUUUGCAUGCAACACAGCGAAUGAUCGCACAGAAAGUAGACGGUCGCAGGUCUGCCAGCCUGCUGUUACUCUCAAUAGUAAUAUAGGACACCAUAAUUCAUGAAUUCUAUUGGACUUUUAGCCCAAUCCAAUAGGAAUUACCAAACAAGGGAGAUUUGGCACCAUUUUUUUGUAAUUUCUCUUUGAUGUAAUUAGAAUAUGAGGUUCUUAAAAGUUUAUAUCCUUUUUAUUAGCUCUUUGCAAUUUCAUUGCACAUUUCAUGUCCUCCUGUGAUUAUUUUGCCUAUUUUUUUGCUAAAGAAAUUGUCUGAAUUACAAAAUUAUCUUUCCAAAUAUCCUUAUUUCUUUAAAAAAAUAUAUUAUUAGUUUGACUGUCCUAAGAUUUGUGAUUCUCCCCUCAUCUUUAAAAAUUUUUAAAAACCCCUUCAAGUUUCUAAAUCAUUCCAAAGUGGCCCUUUAUUCAUGAUCAAUUUCUAUAAUUGUGGAAGAAAGGCGCCAUGAGGACAUCAUGGACCAGCAUGAAUCCUGGCCGACAUUCCUUUGGAUAAGCAAAGUAUAGGAUAUGUUGCCAUUUUGGUCCUAUUUCCACCUUUUAUUCUCUUAUUUUUGUUUUCAAUCUUCAAUUUUAAUCUGGUAUUCUAGGUAAAUCAUGACUAUGAAUACUUCCCUUGGCAUAUACCUCCAUCAAAUGCAAGGAAUAAGGAGAUAUUAACAACCUUUUGUGUGCAACAGGAAACUAAUGGCUGAGCUUUGGAGCUGCAAAAGAAGGGGCAAGUGUUUGGUAUUCUGUAUAUUGGCAUCCUGGAUUAUUGUGGCUAGUUAUUUCAUAGUGUCUCAAUUGUGAAUGUUGGGUGUAUUAGCAGUCCUGUUCCAGGUUGAAUGUUUUGGGAUUUGGGGAUUGUCUGUAGUUGUAUCUUUUGGAGGCUUAGAAUCCCAAUUAUUUUUUAACUGCCAAACUAUUUAUAUAAUGAGAAUCAUAUAUUUGACUUCAAUGUAUAGCUUUACCCAAUGUAAUUUAGGCAAUUUUACAUUGGAAUGAAUUCAAAGCUUUCUAAUCCCAAGUAAUUUCCAAAUGUCUUCCAUAUUUAGGAACCAAAAUGCAAAGUCAAAGUUAUAUAUUUAUCCAAUAAACACGUACCCUGUCUUUUGCAUAGUUUCAUUCACCUCCCUCUACUUUUACACUAGUUUCAUUCACA
RNAcentral lists this long non-coding RNA (2354 nucleotides) under Elaeis guineensis (African oil palm). Its description in RNAcentral is "long non-coding RNA (EGUI_LNC032989)". Lineage: Eukaryota; Viridiplantae; Streptophyta; Magnoliopsida; Arecales; Arecaceae. The record is from RNAcentral.